This is a long non-coding RNA of Ictalurus punctatus (channel catfish), 420 nucleotides long. RefSeq lists it as uncharacterized. The record is from RefSeq and is a predicted model, not a curated record. NCBI's taxonomy places the organism in Eukaryota, Metazoa, Chordata, Actinopteri, Siluriformes, Ictaluridae. The transcript is spliced from 2 exons.
GUUUACGCCUCUCAGAAUGUGUCAUGGUCGAAAAGCCCGCCCCUUCCUUUCGUUGCUAUGGACUACAGAGCCUAACGAUGACCUCCUUCACCUGCAUCAACACGUCUUUGGACCGAAUAUUAAGAUUUCUCAUGAACAGAUACCGAAUGCAAAUUCAACACUUGGAAUCGACUCAAGACUUUUUAUCUCCUUAAUUUGUCAUGAAAUAACGAGGAAACAGGUCACACCUGGCCAUGAAACUGCUUACCAGUCAAUUGUCCCAUUACUUUUGAACCGUGUAAAUGGAGGGACUCUGUAAAAAAAAAAAAAGGCUGUAAUUCCUAAACGGUUAAAAUGCUAUGUCAUGUAGAUGUGUUAUGUUGUAUUUUACACCUAAAAUGUUAAUGAAGCACAUUACAUAUUAAAAGAAUUUUGAAUGCA